GCAGUCGAGCGGACAGAUGGGAGCUUGCUCCCUGAUGUUAGCGGCGGACGGGUGAGUAACACGUGGGUAACCUGCCUGUAAGACUGGGAUAACUCCGGGAAACCGGGGCUAAUACCGGAUGCUUGAUUGAACCGCAUGGUUCAAUUAUAAAAGGUGGCUUUUAGCUACCACUUACAGAUGGACCCGCGGCGCAUUAGCUAGUUGGUGAGGUAACGGCUCACCAAGGCRACGAUGCGUAGCCRACCUGAGAGGGUGAUCGGCCACACUGGGACUGARACACGGCCCARACUCCUACGGGAGGCAGCAGUAGGGAAUCUUCCGCAAUGGACGAAAGUCUGACGGAGCAACGCCGCGUGAGUGAUGAAGGUUUUCGGAUCGUAAAACUCUGUUGUUAGGGAAGAACAAGUACCGUUCGAAUAGGGCGGUACCUUGACGGUACCUAACCARAAAGCCACGGYUAACUACGUGCCAGCAGCCGCGGUAAUACGUAGGUGGCAAGCGUUGUCCGGAAUUAUUGGGCGUAAAGCGCGCGCAGGCGGUUUCUUAAGUCUGAUGUGAAAGCCCCCGGCUCAACCGGGGAGGGUCAUUGGAAACUGGGGAACUUGAGUGCAGAAAAGGAGAGUGGAAUUCCACGUGUAGCGGUGAAAUGCGUAGAGAUGUGGAGGAACACCA
Molecule: ribosomal RNA, 672 nt
Filed under: Bacillus sp. (in: firmicutes)
Lineage: Bacteria; Bacillati; Bacillota; Bacilli; Caryophanales; Bacillaceae
Description: bacterial SSU rRNA
Rfam family: Bacterial small subunit ribosomal RNA
Source: RNAcentral